This 494-nucleotide ribosomal RNA is filed under the name uncultured bacterium. RNAcentral describes it as "partial 16S ribosomal RNA". It matches the Rfam family "Bacterial small subunit ribosomal RNA", at positions 28 to 507 of the family's 1533-position model. The record is from RNAcentral.
GACGAACGCUGGCGGCGUGCUUAACACAUGCAAGUCGAACGGUGAAGCGCCUUCCUUUUUGGUGGGUGUGGAUGAGUGGCGAACGGGUGAGUAACACGUGAGUAACCUGCCCCCUUCUUCUGGAUAACCGCAUGAAAGUGUGGCUAAUACGGGAUAUUCUGGGUCUGUCGCAUGAUGGGUCUGGGAAAGAUAUUGUUUCGGAGGGGGAUGGGCUCGCGGCCUAUCAGCUUGUUGGUGGGGUGAUGGCCUACCAAGGCGGUGACGGGUAGCCGGCCUGAGAGGGUGGACGGUUACACUGGGACUGAGACACGGCCCAGACUCCUACGGGAGGCAGCAGUGGGGAAUAUUGCACAAUGGGCGCAAGCCUGAUGCAGCGACGCCGCGUGAGGGAUGGAGGCCUUCGGGUUGUGAACCUCUUUCGCCAGUGAAGCAGGCCUGCCUCGUUUGUGGGUGGGUUGACGGUAGCUGGAUAAGAAGCGCCGGCUAACUACGUG